This 392-nucleotide ribosomal RNA is filed under the name uncultured Bicosoecida. Its description in RNAcentral is "partial small subunit ribosomal RNA". It matches the Rfam family "Eukaryotic small subunit ribosomal RNA", at positions 30 to 432 of the family's 1831-position model. The record is from RNAcentral. Lineage: Eukaryota; Bigyra; Bicosoecida.
GCUUGUCUCAAAGAUUAAGCCAUGCAUGUCUAAGUAUAAGCACUUAUACCGUGAAACUGCGAAUGGCUCAUUAUAUCAGUUAUAGUUUAUUUGAUAGUUCCUACUACUUGGAUAACCGUAGUAAUUCUAGAGCUAAUACAUGCGACAACCCCUGACUGCUUGCAGAAAGGGCGUAUUUAUUAGAUACAACCAACCCUUCGGGUCCCUGGUGAAUCAUAAUAACCGAACGAACCGUAUGCGCAAGCGACGGUGGUUCAUUCAAGUUUCUGCCCUAUCAGCUUUCGAUGGUAGGGUAUUGGCCUACCAUGGCGUUAACGGGUAACGGAGAAUUAGGGUUCGAUUCCGGAGAGGGAGCCUGAGAGAUGGCUACCACAUCCAAGGAAGGCAGCAGG